Molecule: non-coding RNA, 1678 nt
Organism: Camelina sativa (false flax)
Lineage: Eukaryota; Viridiplantae; Streptophyta; Magnoliopsida; Brassicales; Brassicaceae
Source: RefSeq, a predicted model, not a curated record
CAAGAGUUAAUUAUGAGAUCGACCUUUUUUCUCAUGGGUAUUAUAGAGAUGGGGCUUUCUUCCCGUACUUAUAGAUGUAGGCAUUUCUAAGAUGCUGAAAAUAUAAUAUUGCUCCUUUCACCUAAUACAAUUAAUCGUCUCUCUUCCUCGUCGUUUGUGUUCUUUCUCUCUAGUCAGCAAACCUAAAGACGAUGUUCUGAUCUCCUCCCUUCGAAUACACAAAUAUAAUCGCCCAAACGAAUUAGUUCUAUACGAAUGCCAAUAGAGAAGGAAAGAGAGACAGAGAGUUCCGAACUUUCAAGUUGUAUAUGGUCUGCAAUCUUACACUUCAUGUCUCUCUAAUUCAAAGGUAACAAAAGUCCAAAAUCUCUUCCAUUUUCCAACAACGGUUCAUCUUCUUUGUCGCUUCUUUGUAACUAAGGAAGCCUUGUGGGUAUCGCCUGACCUUGUAAGGUAUAAGGUAUGUGGACUAUGUUCUUUGCUUGAGUUGUUCAUUUUUUAUUUUUGCUAGAGAAACAAAUCAAAUGGUUUUCUAAGUUCCGAGACUAGUUAGUUAGGAUGGUGUUAUAAAAGAGAGAAUUAAGGAAUAUAAGUAAUCUGGUUUUGAAGAUACAAUAAUUGAUUUAUGUGAAUACGUAAACAUUGUGAUUCUGGAUAUUUUGUAACCUCAAGAAUCAAUUCUAAGAAAUCAAAAUAGUAGGGGUUUAGCCUGAAAUUAUGAUCCCUCACUCUCUUUCUUAGCAAAUCAGUUGGUCCAUUUUUUGCAUAUUCUCUUGAAAAAAAUAUCAUCGCUCAAACUAUAUCAUGUUUUCUUUGUUAUGAUAUUCUUCUUGCAAGAGUGAAAUAAAGAUCAAAUAAGUAACCAAUAGAACAACGAUAGUGAUAUAAAUCAGCCUCAUCCAUGGAUGUUUAUCUCCAUUUUAAAAAUCAUUAUUCGUGGAUUUCAUUAUUGUUUCUAGUGGUUUUGCAUAUCUUUUUGAUGAAGAAAUAAUAGUUGUUCAUGCAUUGGUAGCCAUGUUGUUAGUCAUGUCCUUUACAAUAUGUGUGUUUCGUUUGGUGUUUUGGUUUCCUCAGUUGUAUUUCCUUAGAGUUUAGUGUUAUGUGGUUAACUGGCUACUUGGGUUCCUCAGUUGUAGUUCCUUAGGGUUUAGUGUUCUGCGGUUAAUUGGCUACUUGGGUUCCCCAAGUUGUAGUUCCUUAAGGUUUAUGUCAUGCGGUUAAUUGGCUACUUGGGUUCCCUCAGUUGUAGUUCCUUAGGGUUUUAGUUUUUCUUAAUACAUGUGUGUUUGAUUCGGUCCUUGGUUUCCCUUAAUACACUAGUUUUCCUCUUUGCAUUCCCCUUGUAGGGUCGAUUAAGUAAAAUGGCUUCUACUACCCACCGAACUCUUCACUCACGAGGGUUUGCUCAGUAUUAACUAUUAAGUAUCUUCCUGAACAAAUCAUUUACAUGGAUGCUGGCAUCGACUAGAUAGUUGUAAAGACAAAGAAGUUCUUGAAGGAGUCGACAUCUUAAGGGACUGAUUCAUCUAUGUGAUUUUCAGAGUUUGUUGUAUUGUUGUCUUCUGAGACUAAAGAUAGAGUAUGUAAUUUUGAUUUGUUUUUUCUAGUUUUUGUUUUGGUAUAUAAGCCUGACAAUGAAAACCAAACAAUUUGUUAAUUUACGUUUUAUAUAUGAAGA